GAGGGCUACUCCAUUUCUAUAGUUCUCUCUACUGAAAAAAGGAGGAAAAAAUCCGCUGGUCGGCGGUGCAGCAGUGUGGAGACCUGUUGUAACACAAAAAGAAGACUCUUUUUGUAAGGUAUAUCUGCGGAGGCAAGUAUGCCACGACCGAGACUAUGUC
This 160-nucleotide non-coding RNA is filed under the name uncultured Lawsonibacter sp. RNAcentral describes it as "malK-I RNA". It matches the Rfam family "malK-I RNA". The record is from RNAcentral. Lineage: Bacteria; Bacillati; Bacillota; Clostridia; Eubacteriales; Oscillospiraceae.